AGGGCCUACCCUCUAUUGGGAUCUCAGGCCAUGGCCGAGUACUCUGACUGAUGGGACUACUCUUGGUUGGGAGCUCAGGCCAAGGCCGAGCACACCUGAUCGAAGGGCUUUCCUUUGGUUUAGGGCUCACAAUAAAGCUAAGCACACUUAAUCUUAGGGCCUACCCUCGGUUGAGAGCUUAGGCCAAAGCCGAGCAGACCUAAUUGAGGUGCCAACCUUCGGUUUAGUUGGGAGUUAAAGCCAAUGCCAAGAACACCAGAUGGAAGGUAUUAACCCUCGUAUAGGAGCUGAGGCCAAUGCUGAGAAGACUUAACCAAAGGGCCUACCCUAACCGUGGGGCUCAGGCCAUGGUCGAGCACAUCUGACCAAAGGGCCUACCCUUGGUUGGAAACUCAAGCCAAGGCCGAGUAUAGUUGACCGAAGGGAUCUUCCUUCUUUAACACUUAUACCUUGUUUCAUGGUUACUCUAGGAGGGAACCUCUAGGUGUGGGAAGGCAUCAGGGGACUUCUCAUUGUUUAAUCUUGACAAUAGUACUUAUCUAAAAGGUGCACCAGAAGAAAGGGGGGACAAAUAAGGAUACAAAGUGAAUUACAAUAUUCAUCUUUGAUUACUACCACUCAGCUUGUAACGUAAGUUUCGUUAAAUUCACUAUAUUGUUUUACAAGAACUAAUUUUUUGGUUUCAGAAAAUUUAUUGAUAGUUUUUUUUCCAAUUGUGCAGGAAAUUGGUUUGGACAACGACAAGGAAAAAGCUGUGCAACAUUAACUUGGUUAAAAAUGAGCCUUGCUUACAUCAAAGGAGAAAGAUAAAAGGAGAACCUGUUAAAAUACUAGUGCCAAGGAGAGAACCACUAGGUGUGGGAAGGCAUCAGAGGACUCCUCACUGUCUGAUCAUGACAGUAGUACAUCUUAUCUAAAACGUAGUACGAAAGAGAAGGGGGGACUAAUGAGGAUACAAAGUGAAGGACAACAGUCACCUUUUUUUUAUUACUACCACUCAGUCUGUAACGCAAGUUUAGUUAGAUUCACUAUAUUGUUUUACGAGAACUAGUUUUUUGCUUUCAAAAAGUUUAUUGAUAGUUUUUUUCCAAUUGUGCAGGAACUUGACUUGGGUAACAAGAAGGUAGGAUUUACGUAACAUAUUUCCCUUCUAGAAACGAAGUUACAUGUAGUUUUGUAAUUAUUCCACCCCCUCCAAUAUAUAUAUAUAUAUGUAGUUUGGUUUUGUUUGUUUGCAGCUAAAAGCACCCCUGCUUGAAUAUAGAUGUAGAUGAGCCUUGCGUACAACAAAGAUUGUAUAAUUGCUGAUAAGUUAUGCCUAUAUCAUUUAUUUGUUUUCUAGUAUCAUUCACGGUGAUGCCUUUAGAAAUAAAUCCUUUUUUGCAGGUGA
Long non-coding RNA from Macadamia integrifolia, 1390 nucleotides. RefSeq lists it as uncharacterized. The record is from RefSeq and is a predicted model, not a curated record. NCBI's taxonomy places the organism in Eukaryota, Viridiplantae, Streptophyta, Magnoliopsida, Proteales, Proteaceae. The transcript has 4 exons.